GAUGAACGCUAGCUACAAGCUUAACACAUGCAAGUCGAGGGGAAACGGCAUUGAGUGCUUGCACUCUUUGGACGUCGACCGGCGCACGGGUGAGUAACGCGUAUCCAACCUUCCCAUUACUGUGGGAUAACCUGCCGAAAGGCAGACUAAUACCGCAUAGUCUUCGAUGACGGCAUCAGAUUUGAAGUAAAGAUUUAUCGGUAAUGGAUGGGGAUGCGUCUGAUUAGCUUGUUGGCGGGGUAACGGCCCACCAAGGCGACGAUCAGUAGGGGUUCUGAGAGGAAGGUCCCCCACAUUGGAACUGAGACACGGUCCAAACUCCUACGGGAGGCAGCAGUGAGGAAUAUUGGUCAAUGGACGGAAGUCUGAACCAGCCAAGUAGCGUGCAGGAUGACGGCCCUAUGGGUUGUAAACUGCUUUUGUAUGGGGAUAAAGUUAGGGACGUGUCCCUAUUUGCAGGUACCAUACGAAUAAGGACCGGCUAAUUCCGUG
Molecule: ribosomal RNA, 492 nt
Filed under: uncultured bacterium
Lineage: Bacteria
Description: partial 16S ribosomal RNA
Rfam family: Bacterial small subunit ribosomal RNA
Source: RNAcentral